GCGGGCAUAGCUCAGUGGUGGAGUGCAUGCUGCAUGAGGUCCUGGGUUCAAUCCCCAGCAUCUCCA
Molecule: transfer RNA, 66 nt
Filed under: Camelus bactrianus (Bactrian camel)
Lineage: Eukaryota; Metazoa; Chordata; Mammalia; Artiodactyla; Camelidae
Also listed under: 1 other name
Rfam family: tRNA
About the family: Transfer RNA (tRNA) molecules are approximately 80 nucleotides in length. Their secondary structure includes four short double-helical elements and three loops (D, anti-codon, and T loops).
Source: Rfam by way of RNAcentral